RNAcentral lists this unclassified non-coding RNA (313 nucleotides) under Coprinellus micaceus. Its description in RNAcentral is "partial internal transcribed spacer region". The stretch from base 1 to 46 matches the Rfam family "Eukaryotic small subunit ribosomal RNA", at positions 1786 to 1831 of the family's 1831-position model. Lineage: Eukaryota; Fungi; Basidiomycota; Agaricomycetes; Agaricales; Psathyrellaceae. The record is from RNAcentral.
AAGUCGUAACAAGGUUUCCGUAGGUGAACCUGCGGAAGGAUCAUUAACGAAUAACUAUGGUGUCUUGGUUGUAGCUGGCUCCUCGGAGCAAUGUGCACGCCCGCCAUUUUUAUCUUUCCACCUGUGCACCGACUGUAGGUCUGGAUGACUCUCGCACUCCGGUGCGGAUGCGAGGAUUGCUCUCGGGCUCUCCUCGAAUUUCCAGGCUCUACGUCUUUUUACACACCCCAAACGUAUGAUACAGAAUGCAGUCAAUGGGCUUGAUCGCCUAUAAAACACUAUACAACUUUCAGCAACGGAUCUCUUGGCUCUC